This 337-nucleotide ribosomal RNA is filed under the name uncultured bacterium. RNAcentral describes it as "partial 16S ribosomal RNA". It matches the Rfam family "Bacterial small subunit ribosomal RNA", at positions 338 to 667 of the family's 1533-position model. The record is from RNAcentral.
CCUACGGGAGGCAGCAGUGGGGAAUAUUGCGCAAUGGGCGAAAGCCUGACGCAGCGACGCCGCGUGAGGGAUGAAGGUCUUCGGAUCGUAAACCUCCGUCAGCAGGGGAGAACGGUCACUGUGCUAAUCAGCAGUGAAUUGACGGUACCUGCAAAGGAAGCACCGGCUAACGCCGGCCCAGCAGCCGCGGUAAUACGGAGGGUGCGAGCGUUAAUCGGAAUUACUGGGCGUAAAGCGCGCGUAGGCGGUAUGUCAAGUCACGGGUGAAAUCCCCGCGCUCAACGUGGGAACGGCCUUUGAAACUGGCAGACUGGAGUGUGUGAGAGGAUAGUGGAAU